Gasterosteus aculeatus aculeatus (three-spined stickleback) is the source of this 1073-nucleotide long non-coding RNA. The record is from Ensembl. Lineage: Eukaryota; Metazoa; Chordata; Actinopteri; Perciformes; Gasterosteidae.
GGAGACGACUUCUUCUCUGGUGCUGGCGUAGACAGCUGGGCGAUAAGCGUGCUGAGGCGGGUCUGGGGGGUCUGGCCCGACUCGACUCGAGAGCUGCGCAUCCAUCUGAAGUGUAGGGCGUCAUGCUCUUCAACCCGAGGACGUACGUUCCACCCGUCCGUGUCCACGACCAUCGUGAGACGCGAUAAAUGAUGAAAGGGAGCACAAACCAACGUGGAUGUUCCUUGGAAAUGAGACGAAGAGCCAAAGAAAUCUUCAUUUAACAGGAAGUCAGAGUCCUAAAAUACGCCUUACUGUCGUGGACGGAAAGAGCAAAAAGCCAAACAGGAGAAGCAGCCGACCUGAAGAAGAGGAAGCGAGGAGGAGGAGGAGGAGGAGAUGACGAGCGUGGAGCGGUAGAAGCAGAUGAAAAUGGUGCCAAGAAGAAGAGAUCUUUGGAUCCCUCCGCCAAGCUUUCAGCGUUUGCUUUUAACAAAAACUAACUUUUAGAUCCUCGACGUGUCCGUGCUGCUGAUUCUGUUCUUUGAGGCACUCCGAAGGUUUAAAGAGGCCUUCGGUUAGUGAUCAGCUGGACCGUCAUCUCUUCCAUUCGUGGUGUUUCUUCUGUGUAUUUUAAAAGUUGAAUAAAUGUAGAUGUUUGUUGGUUUACUUUACUCAAUGAUCAUUUUUGAUUUAAAAGGUAGACGUCACAGUUGUGUUCUUAUUGUGUUGUCUUCACUGUGUCCGUCCGGCUCUAAGAGACCAUCUGCUCUCCCAGAGGAGGCGGAGCUUCGGUCGGGGGAACUACUUUCAGCGGCGGAUGAAUAUUACGUGUUUCCCAAACUUCUUUUCUGGGGAUCCACUUUGUCCCUAAAAAAAUAAACAAAUUUGUGAUUUCAUUUAGAAAAGGCUUCAACAGCUGGUUAGUGAUUUAAAGAGGUGAAACAUUUGGUCCUACAUUUCCCAUGAUGCAUCAUUUCAACCCCACACUCAUUGACUCCUCACAGGGAAGUUAAGUUCGUGAAUAAUUGUGUAAAUGUAUUGUUUUUUAAUUAGUCUUCUUUAUAAAGAUGCAACCGGCAAAAACAAUAUUU